This 496-nucleotide ribosomal RNA is filed under the name uncultured bacterium. RNAcentral describes it as "partial 16S ribosomal RNA". It matches the Rfam family "Bacterial small subunit ribosomal RNA", at positions 29 to 507 of the family's 1533-position model. The record is from RNAcentral.
AUGAACGCUGGCGGCGUGCCUAAUCCCUGCAAGUCGCGCGAACAGACGAGGAGCUUGCUCCUCUGACGUUAGCGGCGGACGGGUGAGUAACACGUGGAUAACCUACCUAUAAGACUGGGAUAACUUCGGGAAACCGGAGCUAAUACCGGAUAAUAUAUUGAACCGCAUGGUUCAAUAGUGAAAGACGGUUUUGCUGUCACUUAUAGAUGGAUCCGCGCCGCAUUAGCUAGUUGGUAAGGUAACGGCUUACCAAGGCAACGAUGCGUAGCCGACCUGAGAGGGUGAUCGGCCACACUGGAACUGAGACACGGUCCAGACUCCUACGGGAGGCAGCAGUAGGGAAUCUUCCGCAAUGGGCGAAAGCCUGACCGAGCAACGCCGCGUGAGUGAUGAAGGUCUUCGGAUCGUAAAACUCUGUUAUUAGGGAAGAACAAAUGUGUAAGUAACUAUGCACGUCUUGACGGUACCUAAUCAGAAAGCCACGGCUAACUACGUG